AACCAAACGAGGUCUCUGGGUCACCUCCCACCCGUGUUUAUCGUACCUUGUUGCUUCGGCGGGCCCGCCUCACGGCCGCCGGGGGGCAUCCGCCCCCGGGCCCGCGCCCGCCGAAGACACACAAACGAACUCUUGUCUGAAGAUUGCAGUCUGAGUACUUGACUAAAUCAGUUAAAACUUUCAACAACGGAUCUCUUGGUUCCGGCAUCGAUGAAGAACGCAGCGAAAUGCGAUAAGUAAUGUGAAUUGCAGAAUUCAGUGAAUCAUCGAGUCUUUGAACGCACAUUGCGCCCCCUGGUAUUCCGGGGGGCAUGCCUGUCCGAGCGUCAUUGCUGCCCUCAAGCACGGCUUGUGUGUUGGGCUCUCGCCCCCCGCUUCCGGGGGGCGGGCCCGAAAGGCAGCGGCGGCACCGCGUCCGGUCCUCGAGCGUAUGGGGCUUCGUCACCCGCUCUGUAGGCCCGGCCGGCGCCCGCCGGCGAACACCAUCAAUCUUAACCAGGUUGACCUCGGAUCAGGUAGGGAUACCCGCUGAACUUAAGCAUAUCAAUAAGCGGAGGAA
Molecule: ribosomal RNA, 559 nt
Filed under: Penicillium oxalicum
Lineage: Eukaryota; Fungi; Ascomycota; Eurotiomycetes; Eurotiales; Aspergillaceae
Description: eukaryotic LSU rRNA
Rfam family: 5.8S ribosomal RNA (bases 176-329)
Source: RNAcentral